RNAcentral lists this long non-coding RNA (1270 nucleotides) under Homo sapiens (human). RNAcentral's name for it is "HIF1A stabilizing long noncoding RNA". Lineage: Eukaryota; Metazoa; Chordata; Mammalia; Primates; Hominidae. The record is from RNAcentral.
CAGGGAUCACUCUAAGCUCCAGUGUCAAGGAGUCAAGUCCUUCAGGAAUUCUCUGCCUCCACUCCCUGUGGCAGAGCUAGAGUGGCUGCCAUGCUUCUGAGCUCAGCCAGCAUCCAGAGAGAGAGUGAGAUACAGCCUCCUCUUCUUGAAGCACCCACUUCUAAACUCUGUGACAGUUUUCUUGGAACUCUGUUAUGUGGAUCUGGAGAUGACAAUGUCACAGCACUCCCCUCUAAGCCUAAAUUCCCCCACACCGAUGAACUAUUAGGAUCCAGUAUCUGCCGGAGGAGCCCCACCUUCUGCUACUAUUAUGUUCUUCAGAUGAGUAGAAGAGAGUGGGGAGGGAGAGAGCAGGAAGAAGAAAGGAAGAAUAAUGUCUUGAAAUUGGUAAAAGCGUUUUUGUUUGCACAUCCUGCAUUAUUAAUAUUUCUUGUUUAGCAUAAUUAGCUACCCUCUCAAGCUUACACACAACCUGCAGUGUUUAUGCCUUCCGAUGAUAGCUAAACCAUCAGCAAAGCAGUCCAGGUCCCUGAAGGCUGAAUGCAGGUGGUUCUGAAGGCUGCAGGAUGCAUUCAAAAAGCAGGAUACAUAAGCUUUAAUUGUUGCUAAAAAUACAUUCACUAGAAGAAUCGGACUCCUUCUAUCUGUCUGGAGUGGAUAAAAGCCAACUAUGGAUUCAGUAGUCUAAAGAAAGUCGCAGAAGAACAAAGAAAAGAUGAUGCAUAUCAUAAAUUAUUACUCACCCCAUGUUCCCACCCUCGAGAGACCUCCAAACAAUCACCAUGCCACAGUGAACAUUCAGUAACAAAAAUUCAGCCAGGGUUUUCACCAGCAUGAAUGGCAGUGAUUCCAAUCAGGAAAACAGAAAGAGGAGAGUUCAGAGCCACCUAGAAUGGCUCUUGCAAGAUACGAAAUCAAGGCAGCAGCAACAGGGCUGAACAUUCCUCAUCCCUAACUCUCCCUUCACCAGUAGGAAACCCAGGAUAACUGCAAUCACCGCAGGCCCAUCUGGCCUGAAGUUCUACUACUAGUAGCCCUCCAUGGGACCUUCUUAAGGAAGCAUGUCAACUCAGGUAAGGGAUGUAAGGGGAUGGAUGACCCUUUGAGGCCAAAGUUGGAGCAAAAAACACCAGAUGUUCCUGUGCACUGCUCCUAAGAGAUGGUUCUGAAGACCAGUUCGGGGAGAGGUCAAAAUACUGGACAGAAUCUCAGCAACAUGGAACCUCAAACUAAGUGACAGUCACAGACAACUCUUCCCCAAAGAAAAUAA